UACGUAGGGGGCAAGCGUUGUCCGGAUUUAUUGGGCGUAAAGAGCGUGUAGGCGGCCAGGUAGGUCUGCUGUGAAAACUCGAGGCUUAACCUCGAGCUGUCGGUGGAAACUGUCUGGCUAGAGUCCGGAAGAGGAGAGUGGAAUUCCUGGUGUAGCGGUGAAAUGCGCAGAUAUCAGGAAGAACACCUAUGGCGAAGGCAGCUCUCUGGGACGGUACUGACGCUGAGACGCGAAAGCGUGGGGAGCGAACAGG
This 253-nucleotide ribosomal RNA is filed under the name uncultured bacterium. RNAcentral describes it as "partial 16S ribosomal RNA". It matches the Rfam family "Bacterial small subunit ribosomal RNA", at positions 524 to 776 of the family's 1533-position model. The record is from RNAcentral.